Long non-coding RNA from Canis lupus familiaris (dog), 1390 nucleotides. RefSeq lists it as uncharacterized. The record is from RefSeq and is a predicted model, not a curated record. The transcript has 5 exons. Lineage: Eukaryota; Metazoa; Chordata; Mammalia; Carnivora; Canidae.
CUCGACAGGCCCGGGAUCCGAAGAAGGCUCGCUGCGCGUGGUGGGGCAGCCCCCGCAGGCGGGGAGCGCGUGGGAGCGCGUGGGUGGAGAGCACGCGCCCAGCUGCCUCCCAAAGGCCAGGCGCCAGCUGCGGCUCCCACCUCUGCGGAGCUCCGACCCUUCCUUAAACUCGCACUGAGCCUCGGCCUCCUGACCCGAAACUUCGCCGGUCUCCACUAGUCGGGAUUCCAGUGUCUGAUUUCCUUCCUUCAAACUUCACAAAUGCAGUUUUAAUCCCCUCCAAACCACCGCCAGCUGAGACGCCGGGACUGGAGCAACGUGUCGAACAACAUUAAGCCAGCAGGUCUGGAGCAGAAGAGAGUCCCUCUGCCUUUGUCCCAGUGAUGCCGGGCUCAAGGCUGUUUCUGCAGGGCUGCAAUCAAACUCCUUGAAUAACAAUUUAUAAAUACUCUGGGAAGCUUGGAGAAAAGACCUAGACUACAAAAAUUCACUGUUGCAUUCACAACUCAAAGAACAGUGAAACAGAUGGAAAGAGAAGACCUAGUGACAGAGGUGGAGUCCAGAGAAGAGUGAGGAAGGAUAAAACAUUUUGAUCCUCUUUACUUGCUCAGAUCUUUUGCAGUUAAUGAGUCCCCACGCAGCUGGACAGCUCCUCUCGGACACUGAGAACUCUAACCCCAAAAUGACCCCAAUUUGACACCGCAAGAUGAAAUUUUACCGCCUGUUAAAACCAUUUCCAGCCUGGGCAAAAGGAGCUGACUGUUGACGGAGGUGUGUGCCGCCUCCUGCGACCCCCAUCUCGUGCCAGUCUCCUGGGCCUGCCCCACCUACUUUUCCUUCACCCCAAAUGUGGAAGAACAGAGGAGCCUCGCAGCCUGGAUUGGGGGUGCAGAGGCUGAGACUGGAGCAUCAGUAAUCAGGCUAGAAAUCAGAAAGUGUGUGCACCUCCCUGCUUUGGAAUCGCUACUGUUGGACUGGCACAAUUGGACGAGAUUGGCCAAGACCCGACACCCUGAAUCACCUCCAACUUGAUCUUGUGUGUAAUCUACUGCACUGCGAUGCUAUUUUACACGUAUAGUUUCACAAAUGACAUGCAACUAGGGAGAAGUAAUUGGCACUCACUAUACAGGCUAUUUAAAACAACAAUAACCCUAUUGACGACAAUACAUACACAAUAUUGAAAAUACGAACAACUGGAAGAAUAAAAACUAAAAAUCACUAUAAACUUCUCAGCUAGUGGCGCUGCACGGGGAACUCGGCUCCAGCAAUUUCAAGAUCUCUAGCAGACAACGCUCCGCAGGCGAGACCAGAUUGUUAUUUUUCUCUCAUCCUUCCCGAAACCCCAGCUAAACUGAAUUCACGUAACUGCCGCUUGAAAUAAAAUUCUGCA